RNAcentral lists this ribosomal RNA (465 nucleotides) under Vreelandella stevensii. RNAcentral describes it as "partial 16S ribosomal RNA". It matches the Rfam family "Bacterial small subunit ribosomal RNA", at positions 338 to 795 of the family's 1533-position model. The record is from RNAcentral. Lineage: Bacteria; Pseudomonadati; Pseudomonadota; Gammaproteobacteria; Oceanospirillales; Halomonadaceae.
CCUACGAGCGGCAGCAGUGGGGAAUAUUGGACAAUGGGGGGAACCCUGAUCCAGCCAUGCCGCGUGUGUGAAGAAGGCCCUCGGGUUGUAAAGCACUUUCAGUGAGGAAGAACGCCUGGUGGUUAAUACCCAUCAGGAAAGACAUCACUCACAGAAGAAGCACCGGCUAACUCCGUGCCAGCAGCCGCGGUAAUACGGAGGGUGCGAGCGUUAAUCGGAAUUACUGGGCGUAAAGCGCGCGUAGGUGGCUUGAUAAGCCGGUUGUGAAAGCCCCGGGCUCAACCUGGGAACGGCAUCCGGAACUGUCAAGCUAGAGUGCAGGAGAGGAAGGUAGAAUUCCCGGUGUAGCGGUGAAAUGCGUAGAGAUCGGGAGGAAUACCAGUGGCGAAGGCGGCCUUCUGGACUGACACUGACACUGAGGUGCGAAAGCGUGGGUAGCAAACAGGAUUAGAUACCCGAGUAGUC